Molecule: ribosomal RNA, 434 nt
Filed under: uncultured bacterium
Lineage: Bacteria
Description: partial 16S ribosomal RNA
Rfam family: Bacterial small subunit ribosomal RNA
Source: RNAcentral
AGCGAACGCUGGCGGCAGGCCUAACACAUGCAAGUCGAACGAACCUUUCGGGGUUAGUGGCGGACGGGUGAGUAACACGUGGGAACGUGCCUUUAGGUUCGGAAUAACUCAGGGAAACUUGUGCUAAUACCGAAUGUGCCCUUCGGGGGAAAGAUUAAUCGCCUUUAGAGCGGCCCGCGUCUGAUUAGCUAGUUGGUUGAGGUAAUGGCUCACCAAGGCGACGAUCAGUAGCUGGUCUGAGAGGAUGAUCAGCCACAUUGGGACUGAGACACGGCCCAAACUCCUACGGGAGGCAGCAGUGGGGAGUCUUGCGCAAUGGGCGAAAGCCUGACGCAGCCAUGCCGCGUGAAUGAUGAAGGUCUUAGGAUUGUAAAAUUCUUUCACCGGGGACGAUAAUGACGGUACCCGGAGAAGAAGCCCCGGCUAACUUCGUG